Pyrus x bretschneideri (Chinese white pear) is the source of this 1023-nucleotide long non-coding RNA. RefSeq lists it as uncharacterized. The record is from RefSeq and is a predicted model, not a curated record. Lineage: Eukaryota; Viridiplantae; Streptophyta; Magnoliopsida; Rosales; Rosaceae. The transcript is spliced from 7 exons.
UGCAGCUUCUCGAUUUUUCCAUCCGUUUCUAGUUCUCUCUUUCGAAAAUCUCUGCUUCCAUUGCUCUGAACUUGCCUUCUAUCACUCUUAAACGCCGGGUUGUACUCGGCGAAGUCUGUGAAGGACCAAUAAAUGGAUUCGAAGAUGAACCAAGUCAAGGGACACGGAGGUCAGAAUAUCGGAGCUAUAAAUUGGCUGCCUUGAAAUUUUUUUAUUUAAUUAAUUUCAACAGAUUAGAGAUUUUAAUCUUCUGCACUUUAAAUUUAAAGCACGCUGUAUUACAGAGCAUACAAUUCCUUGCUGGCUAUUAGAUUUUUCAAGAGGGUUUUGCCUUUCUGAAGAGUUACUUUCAAGGAUAAAAAUGAGUGUUCCAAAGAAAGCUAGGAGUUCUGGUGAUGAAAUUAAAUUUAUCUUCUUGGUGGACUUAAAGAGAUAAAGUAUGCAGGAGAUUGGUAGGAUCCAACAUAUAAGAGGUCAUAUUUUUCACUUUCUGGAUGUGCAAAGUUUGGAUAGUACACAUCACCGGGCCAAACCUUUCUCAGGAAUGUCAUUCUAAAAGGAUAUUGGCAGGAGGGGGUGGAAUGUCAUUCUAAGAUAUAUAUAUCAGCAGCAAGGGUGUGGAAGCUCACACGCUCAGAUUUCAACGCGUUUCGAAGGUGGAAAUGACAAGAAUGUGCAGUGUGGACCUCCAAUUUCUAGUGCUAUGAUGCAUGAGGACUGCCAAAGUGAGAAUACUGGUUAGUUGUCAUCAAGCAGCCCUUGUAGAUGUGUAUUUUGUUUAUAUAUUGCUAGUUUAACCAUUAGUACGUUUGACUUGGGGAUACAAGCUUGGAUAUGUUAUAUUUUGUUGUAUAUAGAGAAUCCCGGGUAUGUCCAGCAUAGGAUAACAUGUAUUUUUUGGUUUAACAUUUGGAUGGGUUGUAUUGUUAGGUUGCAUGAAUCGGUCUUAGCCGAGAACAUGGGUUAUGUAAUAUAUUAACUUCACUAUUUUAGUGCUAAUGUUGAUUUAUGUUUAGUUUGUAA